UGGGGAAUAUUGCACAAUGGGCGCAAGCCUGAUGCAGCAACGCCGCGUGAACGAUGAAUUUCUUCGGUUCGUAAAGUUCUGUUGCAGGGGAAGAUAAUGACGGUACCCUGUGAGGAAGCCCCGGCUAACUACGUGCCAGCAGCCGCGGUAAUACGUAGGGGGCUAGCGUUAUCCGGGUUUACUGGGCGUAAAGGGUGCGUAGUUGGUCCUUCAAGUCGGUGGUUAAAGGCUACGGCUCAACCGUAGUAAGCCGCCGAAACUGGAGGACUUGAGUGCAGGAGAGGAAAGUGGAAUUCCCAGUGUAGCGGGGAAAUGCGUAGAUAUUGGGGGGAACACCAGGAGCGAAGGCGGCUUUCUGGACUGCAACUGACACUGAGGCACGAAAGCGUGGGUAGCAAACAGG
RNAcentral lists this ribosomal RNA (403 nucleotides) under Verrucomicrobiota bacterium. RNAcentral describes it as "Verrucomicrobia bacterium partial 16S ribosomal RNA". It matches the Rfam family "Bacterial small subunit ribosomal RNA", at positions 355 to 776 of the family's 1533-position model. The record is from RNAcentral. Lineage: Bacteria; Pseudomonadati; Verrucomicrobiota.